CCAGGUCAUUUAGGAAUCUGUAUAAAAGGACCUGCAAACCAGUGCUAUUUACUCGCUUCUCUUGAUUCACUCUUGUGGUAAACCAGGUUCACCUCCAUCACAGCAAGAUGUUUGACAACCUAGACACAACUGAAGACCUCUGGUACAAGGGCCAGUCUGGUUGUUGGGACCCCUGCUACAGAAGGCCAUCUUGGAGUGGCUGUUGGGACCCCUACUACAGAAGGUCAUCUUGGAGUGGCUGUUGGGACCCCUGCUAUAGAAGGCCAUCUUGGAGCAGUUGCUGGGAUCCCUGCUAUUCAAGGUCAUCUUGGAAUAGUUGUUGGGAUCCAUGCAACUACAGAAGGCCAUACAGUUAUGGGCUUGGGAGCUCGUACGGUUCUGGAUUCUGCUACCCUUACGCUUCCCGCUGGGGGCGUAGGGGCAGCUAUGGAAAGUGCUGGCCAUGCUAAAUCCAUCUUGAAUAUCCACGGCACUUGGGGCAAUGAAAACAUGAAAAACAGGAUACAGAUUCACGGCUGACCCAAAGGAGAUGGCUUUAAGCAGUGCUAAGCACUCAGUACCUCCGUAGUUAGAGGGCUUAGCAUUGGAAGAAGGCUGCCUUCCCCAUACAUGUAUUUCCUAUGCUUUUCUUGGUCACUCUAGGAACUUUGCAUUCUCUGCGCUCUUAAGUAUUAAGGCCUCUUCAUGUUGUGAUGUCAUUUAAAAGGAAGCCUCUGUUUCCCUAGAGUCCACUUGCAAUCCAUUGCAGAUCACUUGACACAACCACAGUGGUGUCAAAUGUUUUUGGUGUCAAUGGGAAAGAGAUGCUCUUUUAUCCUUUGCUUCUAACAUGAAACUUGGCUACAUAAACUGCAUCAUGGAGAAGCUGUUUAUUCCCCUCCUUAUAUUGUGCUUUUCCUCAUUUGACAUUGUUCAGUGAGACAACUAGUAAAUAAAUGGAAACAGCUUGGUAGUAAAAGUCAGCAGCUGAAAGAAAGAAGCACACCUUGUACAAAAUGGGCCAGGCGUAGAGUCCCAGUUGUGGUCCUUUGGAAAAGCUUGGGAAUAUUUGCUCUCUCCUCUGUAUUUGUUCUGUGACUGUAUAUUCAAUUUCUUAUGUGCAUUAAAAUUAACAUUACUCUGCAGCAUAA
Alligator sinensis (Chinese alligator) is the source of this 1130-nucleotide long non-coding RNA. RefSeq lists it as uncharacterized. The transcript is spliced from 2 exons. The record is from RefSeq and is a predicted model, not a curated record. NCBI's taxonomy places the organism in Eukaryota, Metazoa, Chordata, Crocodylia, Alligatoridae.